ACCACUGAGCCACCUUCCCAGCCCCUAUAAUAACAAUUUUGAAUAUUAAAAUGAAUUGUUAGGGCUGGGAAGGUGGCUCAGUGGU
This is a non-coding RNA of Dipodomys ordii (Ord's kangaroo rat), 85 nucleotides long. The record is from Rfam. NCBI's taxonomy places the organism in Eukaryota, Metazoa, Chordata, Mammalia, Rodentia, Heteromyidae.